Molecule: long non-coding RNA, 2109 nt
Organism: Cygnus olor (mute swan)
Lineage: Eukaryota; Metazoa; Chordata; Aves; Anseriformes; Anatidae
Exons: 2
Source: RefSeq, a predicted model, not a curated record
CUUUAAGAUAUAACAUGAAGGAGAAUAAGAGUACUUUCUAUGGGCUGCUAUCUAAACCAUAAGCUGAUACUCAAGGUGAAAUAAAUUAACAGAAGAGCCACAAGCACACUUGUGUUCUGGGAAGGUGUUUGUCCUAGUGAUAACCACAAGCGAAACUUCUAAUAUCCAUUUUCCAAAUCAUCCUUUCCGUACUCCAAACUUACUCAUCAGGCUAAUGGCAACAUUUCAGGACAGUACUAGCUAUUUAGACACCAACACUCUUGGGUGAAACAAGUAAUGUAAGGAAUUGUUAGCUACUGGGAAAUCCACGUCUUGGCCAGUAAGUCAGUGAAUACCAGAGACAGGAGAAGGAGGCAUGGAGAAGGGUCGUACCCAAAUAUUUACUUUAGACCUCCUGGGGGAGGAAAAUGUUUUCCCUUUUCUCAAGGGAAUGAUUGGGGAAUUACGGAUACCAGAACAAACACCAAAGCUUCAUUAACAGAAAAACAAAUCUUCUCUACAGGCCUCCACACGUCUCAGGAAAGCCCCCCUCCUUUCUUUGAUUCCCAAAAAAAGGGGAAUAAAUAUUUCAGAAAAAGGUCUGUACUCAUCUAGAUUGUUUUUGUUUUUAAUUCCUACAAAUAAAUUAAGUCCCUGCACCUCCUGAAAAGUUGGUCAGAAUCCUUGAGAAGCUACCCAGAAUCACACAGCAGCAGAAAUGGUUGGCCAGUCUCUUCAAUCUCAUUCAAAAACUUGAGAAACAGCAAAGUCACCGCCUGCAGGUUCCAGCUCAGCCAUUUAUGCUCUUGGUAUCUUCACAGCCACAUGAGAGCAAAAGGAAGCAAACCUGACUUUGGCCAUAUUGACAAUGCGUACCUCUCACCACAGAGGCGUAGCCAAGUCAGUUGUUAACCACGGGCAAAGGAACACUUAACAGUUUGGAGAUACAGUAAUAUUAGGUGAAUAACCCGCCUGUACUUUCACUUUAAACCUCAGGCAACACAGCAACACAUUAGAAGUUACCUGAAUUUAUACAGAGCUCAAGGCAGAAAACAAAACGCUAAAAAUUAAUGCCUUGAUCCUACAAACAUUUAAGUUGUACCUAACUUUACCCAGUGGAGUAUAUCUAUUGACUAUAAUGAAAUUACAAAGUGUGCUUGAGCCACAGAACAAAGCCUAAACUUGCAGCAUCAGGUGGAAAAGUGUUAUAUCAGAAGAAUUCCCUAGCAUAAAGACUGCUGUGGCACACUGUAACUGUCUCAAUGUGUAAAUCCAUGUGUUACAGUGGAACUGUGAAGUUACAGUACAAGUUUAACAAACAAAAGGUCAUUUUUACUCUAAACGGACACAACACCUACACUUAGGUACCUAUACUUAGGCAUUUUCAGGAGGAAACAAGUAGUUAAAGCACUAGCCCUGCGGCUAGCAACUGCCAAGUCCAAUAGAGAGAAAAAAAGCACAAGUUACAUAUCAAGAAAGCUGAAUUGUUUUAAGUACAUCUGGAAGGUAAAGUUGAUUGCAAAUAUAGCACGCAUCCUGCAUCCAAGUUUAUGGCACUGUUGAAGUGAAUGGAAGCUAGGCCUUGGGUUUAUUUCUUGUUUUACCCUGAAAGCAUUAAGAGGUGAGUCUUCUCCAAAAUCUACAGCUCUGUAGCAGAUAAUUCUACAUAUUGCAGUAUCUCUUAGCAAUUUAGAGAAAUGAGUUGGGCAGAACACAGGUGCAUCUAAAAUGCAGCAUCCAGUAACACCAGUGACCUAUUGGUCCUAUCAUCUAAAGGCAGACGUUGACUCAGUUCUGUUUAACUAAAGAGAAUAAAAAUACCGUGCUUAGGAUGCUGUCUGCUUGGGACAGCCAAAAGUAGGAUGCUGGUUUAAAAGAUUCAAUGACACAUCUCAGGUAGCAGUGAAUAGCACAACUGUCUACCAUGUCAUAGUUACAUUCAAACACACUUUAGGAUUAUUUCUUUUUUUCCAGAGAAUAUUUAAAGUUUUACCUUGCGGGGAAAAGAACAGCAGAAGACACCACACAAACAUGUAGAACUGGAAAUAUAUCAAGAGCUUAAGUGGAACAACUACAAAAAUGGAACACUAAAUACAUUAACAACAUUAACAAAAGUUACAUGGAACAACC